CCAGACUUUCAUUCCAAAAUGAAGAUGCUUAUUUUAUUCACCUGCCUUCUUGGCUUAAGCCUUCAAGCACCUGCACCUCAGCAACAAGGGGCUGGCCCUGCCAGUAUAGAAAUAUUUCUCCCAUAUGGAAUCCAUGGUCAAGCAUUUGCUAGCCCACAGCAUCCUGGAAUACAACUCAAUCCAUCAUCCCCCCAGCAAAAUGGACUUCCAGGACACGCCAGCAUAGAAUUUCUGGUGCCUUAUGGAUUCCCCACCCAGCAAUCUGGCGUCCCGACACAGCUGGGACAAAUGUUUCCUCAAGGAUAUGUAAAACAAAAGAAGCUGCAGGCACCUGGCAAAGCAAGCAAUGAGGCUCACAACAGCCCAGAUCCUGCUGCGCAAGAUACAGCCCAACAGCCAGCCGAGAACGGGCCUGCUAGCAUUGAAAUACUCAUGCCUUACGGCUUUCAAGGACAACAGUUCCCCAUGCCACAGAUGCCAAUUUCAAACCACCCAGCAGGAGCCCACCCUUCACCUCAGCUCCCAGGCCAUGUGAGCAUUGAGAUGCUCUACCCAUAUUCAUACCCAGGCCAAACAGCUGGAUAUCCUCAGCAGUAUGGACCACAGAGUGAUGCCCCGGCUGCUGCACCCCUGACUCCUCAGCAUCCCGCAAUGCCCCAACACGCCAGCGUAGAGCUUUUGGUUCCAUAUGGAUUCCCAGGCCAGCAUCAGGGACAUCCCCAAUAUCCUGGAUCAAUUUUUCCAUCACAGGGAUUUCUGAAGCACAAAAUUCCUCAGCCUCCUGGUGCACGCAGUAUUGAAAUUCUGUAUCCAUUUGGAUUUGGAUCACAGAACCCGAUGUUGCAGUUUGGAAAUGCAUCACCUGUUGUGCCACAGCAGCUUGCUUCCCAAAGCCCUAAGGCAUUCCCUACUGCCAAACCAGUCCAAGAGGAGAUCAGUCAACAAAAACCAAUUGAGAUGCCAAUCGAUGGGAUACUAAAGGAGGCUGAGCAAACUGUUUCACCAAGUGCCAAAACAAUGGAAUAGACGAAAUCUUCAUUGAAAUCACAGCAACCUGCCAAUGGCCUGUUUCCAUGACACUCCACAUUUCCAGUAAAAUAUUUAUAUAAACGUGCAAAAAAAAACAAUAAAAAAGAUAUAGAACACAUCUUUUAGGUUGUACUGAGAACAAAAUAAAAAAAAAAACAUACACACUUAGGUAUUUUGGACUUUAGAAAUUCAGCAGAAGGUUGUAUAACCUAAUUCAUUGCUAAAGCCACAAGUCUCUACUCAUAUUAACUUUUCAGAAGCAGUAAGUUAUAUUUCCUUCAGUUUGCUGUCAUAAAACAAGCAAAACUACAGGUUCAGUGUCAGAAAAAAAGUACACAUGCCCAGUGAUACUUACUGAAUUGUCUGGCAGCAUUCAAUGAUUUUACAUGCAAUACAUCCUUAUUUUGAUUGAUUUAUGUUGGCAUUGUGAGCUAUUGAGUGCUAUUUGGAUAUUUUUUAGAGUGGCUUUGAAAUUUGUUUUCACUUUUCAACAUAGAUAGUCUACUUGAGAACCAACUGUUUCUCAAUUUUAUGUGGUAUACCUGUGAGUAGUUAUAAAUAGCCAUUAAUCAUUAAAUGUGGCCAACAAAUUGUUUUGCUUUCUCGGUAUGUCAUUGUGCUGGAACAAGCACACUAUGUUUACUGUUUGAGAGUUUUAUCUUUUAAAUGGAUGAUCAAUUUAAUGUAGAAAUAAAGGUUCCCUCUAAUUUAAGAACUGUAGCCGCCUUUUUAUUUAAUCUUAAGGAUUUGUUUCCCAAGCUUUGGAGCUGCUGUUUCACACAAUGUGUCAUUAAAGAUUUUUUU
This is a long non-coding RNA of Lepisosteus oculatus (spotted gar), 1833 nucleotides long. The record is from Ensembl. NCBI's taxonomy places the organism in Eukaryota, Metazoa, Chordata, Actinopteri, Semionotiformes, Lepisosteidae.